Molecule: small nucleolar RNA, 87 nt
Organism: Benincasa hispida (wax gourd)
Lineage: Eukaryota; Viridiplantae; Streptophyta; Magnoliopsida; Cucurbitales; Cucurbitaceae
Source: RefSeq, a predicted model, not a curated record
UGGCUAUGAUUAUAUGUUUAUCCGCGCUUCCGAGGUUAAACGAUGAAGCAAACUUAAAUAAAUGGUUGAAUUUCUUAAUAUGAGCCU